This 492-nucleotide ribosomal RNA is filed under the name uncultured bacterium. RNAcentral's name for it is "partial 16S ribosomal RNA". It matches the Rfam family "Bacterial small subunit ribosomal RNA", at positions 29 to 507 of the family's 1533-position model. The record is from RNAcentral.
AGUGAACGCUGGCGGUAGGCCUAACACAUGCAAGUCGAACGGCAGCACAGUAAGCGCUUGCUCUUACGGGUGGCGAGUGGCGGACGGGUGAGGAAUACAUCGGAAUCUACUUUUUCGUGGGGGAUAACGUAGGGAAACUUACGCUAAUACCGCAUACGACCUACGGGUGAAAGCAGGGGUUCUUCGGACCUUGCGCGAUUGAAUGAGCCGAUGUCGGAUUAGCUAGUUGGCGGGGUAACGGCCCACCAAGGCGACGAUCCGUAGCUGGUCUGAGAGGAUGAUCAGCCACACUGGAACUGAGACACGGUCCAGACUCCUACGGGAGGCAGCAGUGGGGAAUAUUGGACAAUGGGCGCAAGCCUGAUCCAGCCAUACCGCGUGAGUGAAGAAGGCCUUCGGGUUGUAAAGCCCUGUUGUUGGGAAAGAAAAGCAGCAGGUUAAUACCCCGCUGUUCUGACGGUACCCAAAGAAUAAGCACCGGCUAACUUCGUG